RNAcentral lists this ribosomal RNA (500 nucleotides) under uncultured Glomeromycotina. Its description in RNAcentral is "partial small subunit ribosomal RNA". It matches the Rfam family "Eukaryotic small subunit ribosomal RNA", at positions 591 to 1092 of the family's 1831-position model. The record is from RNAcentral. Lineage: Eukaryota; Fungi; Glomeromycota.
CCAAUAGCGUAUAUUAAAGUUGUUGCAGUUAAAAAGCUCGUAGUUGAAUUUCGGGAUCAAUUUGCUGGUCGUGCCUCUGGUACGUACUGGUAUUAUUGGUUUCUCCCUUCUGACGAACCAUGAUGUCAUUAAUUUGAUGUCGUGGAGAAUCAGGACUGUUACUUUGAAAAAAUUAGAGUGUUUAAAGCAGGCAUUAGCUUGAAUACAUUAGCAUGGAAUAAUGAAAUAGGACGUUUGAUCCUAUUUUGUUGGUUUCUAGGAUUGACGUAAUGAUUAAUAGGGAUAGUUGGGGGCAUUAGUAUUCAAUUGUCAGAGGUGAAAUUCUUGGAUUUAUUGAAGACUAACUACUGCGAAAGCAUUUGCCAAGGAUGUUUUCAUUAAUCAAGAACGAAAGUUAGGGGAUCGAAGACGAUCAGAUACCGUCGUAGUCUUAACCAUAAACUAUGCCGACUAGGGCUCGGAUGAUGUUAAUUUUUUAAUGACUCAUUCGGCGCCUUACG